GAAAUGCGAUAAGUAAUGUGAAUUGCAGAAUUCAGUGAAUCAUCGAACCUUUGAACGCACAUUGCGCCCGCCAGUAUUCUGGCGGGCAUGCCUGUCCGAGCGUCAUUUCAACCAUCAAGCCCCCGGGCUUGUGUUGGGGACCUGCGGCUGCCCGCAGGCCCUGAAAACCAGUGGCGGGCUCGCUGUCACACCGAGCGUAGUAGCAAUCACCUCGCUCAGGGCGUGCUGCGGGUUCCGGCCGUUAAACAGCCUUACAAAACCCAAGGUUGACCUCGGAUCAGGUAGGAAGACCCGCUGAACUUAAGC
This 306-nucleotide unclassified non-coding RNA is filed under the name plant metagenome. Its description in RNAcentral is "partial contains 5.8S ribosomal RNA, internal transcribed spacer 2, and large subunit ribosomal RNA". The stretch from base 1 to 105 matches the Rfam family "5.8S ribosomal RNA", at positions 50 to 154 of the family's 154-position model. The record is from RNAcentral.